UCCUCGGUAGUAUAUCGGCUAGUACACCCGCCUGUCAUUCAUAUUGGAAGCGUGGAUUAUACGCGGGAGAGCGGGGUUCGACUCCCCGCCGAGGAG
Non-coding RNA from Schizophyllum commune H4-8, 96 nucleotides. NCBI's taxonomy places the organism in Eukaryota, Fungi, Basidiomycota, Agaricomycetes, Agaricales, Schizophyllaceae. The record is from the annotation of a RefSeq genome assembly.